This 505-nucleotide ribosomal RNA is filed under the name Orthetrum sabina. RNAcentral describes it as "partial 16S rRNA". It matches the Rfam family "Bacterial large subunit ribosomal RNA", at positions 1819 to 2597 of the family's 2925-position model. The record is from RNAcentral. Lineage: Eukaryota; Metazoa; Arthropoda; Insecta; Odonata; Libellulidae.
GUCCUUUUGAAUUUAAUUUAAGGUCUGACCUGCCCAGUGAUAAUUUUAACGGCCGCGGUAUACUGACCGUGCAAAGGUAGCAUAAUCAUUAGUCUUUUAAUAGAGGGCUGGAAUGAAAGGUUUAACGAGGAAUUGACUGUCUCAUUUUAUUUGUUUUAAAAUUUAAUUUUUUAGUUAAAAAGCUAAAAUCUUAUUGGAAGACGAGAAGACCCUAUAGAGCUUUACAUAUAAUUAAAUAAAUAUUUUUAUAUUAAUAUCUUUAUUUAAUUUUGUGUUUUGUUGGGGUGACAAAAAUAUAUAAAUAACUUUUUUAUUUAAUUAACAUUGAUUUAUGAAUAUUAGAUCCAUUAUUAUUGAUUAUUAGACUAAGUUACCUUAGGGAUAACAGCGUAAUCCUCCUCCAGAGUUCAUAUUUACAGGAUGGGCUUGCGACCUCGAUGUUGGAUUAAGAUAAUAAUUAGGUGUAGCCGCUUAAUUGAUAGGUCUGUUCGACCUUUAAAUUCUU